GACGAACGCUGGCGGCGUGCCUAAUACAUGCAAGUUGAGCGCUGAAGGUUGGUACUUGUACCAACUGGAUGAGCAGCGAACGGGUGAGUAACGCGUGGGGAAUCUGCCUUUGAGCGGGGGACAACAUUUGGAAGCGAAUGCUAAUACCGCAUAAAAACUUUAAACACAAGUUUUAAGUUUGAAAGAUGCAAUUGCAUCACUCAAAGAUGAUCCCGCGUUGUAUUAGCUAGUUGGUGAGGUAAAGGCUCACCAAGGCGAUGAUACAUAGCCGACCUGAGAGGGUGAUCGGCCACAUUGGGACUGAGACACGGCCCAAACUCCUACGGGAGGCAGCAGUAGGGAAUCUUCGGCAAUGGACGAAAGUCUGACCGAGCAACGCCGCGUGAGUGAAGAAGGUUUUCGGAUCGUAAAAACUCUGUUGGUAGAGAAGAAACCGU
RNAcentral lists this ribosomal RNA (437 nucleotides) under Lactococcus lactis. Its description in RNAcentral is "bacterial SSU rRNA". It matches the Rfam family "Bacterial small subunit ribosomal RNA", at positions 28 to 454 of the family's 1533-position model. The record is from RNAcentral. Lineage: Bacteria; Bacillati; Bacillota; Bacilli; Lactobacillales; Streptococcaceae.